GAUGAACGCUGACAGAAUGCUUAACACAUGCAAGUCGAUGGGGAAGGGGUGCUUGCACCAUGGUAACCAUGGCGGACGGGUGAGUAACGCGUAAGGACCUUACCUGCGGGACCGGGAUAACAGCAGGAAACUGCUGACAAGACCGGAUAAGGUCAUUAAGCUGCAUAGCUUAGUGAUGCAAGGAGACGCCUGCGGAGAGCCUUGCGUCCUAUUAGCUAGUUGGAGGGGUAACGGCCCACCAAGGCGAAGAUAGGUAGCCGGCCUGAGAGGGUGGACGGCCACAAGGGGACUGAGAUACGGCCCUUACGCCUACGGGAGGCAGCAGUGGGGAAUAGUGGACAAUGGGGGCAACGCUGAUACAGCAAUUCUGUGUGCACGAAGACGGUUUUCGGAUUGUAAAGUGCUUUCAGCAGGGAAGAAGGAAGUGACGGUACCUUCAGAAGAAGCGACGGCUAAAUACGUG
Molecule: ribosomal RNA, 463 nt
Filed under: uncultured bacterium
Lineage: Bacteria
Description: partial 16S ribosomal RNA
Rfam family: Bacterial small subunit ribosomal RNA
Source: RNAcentral